AGCUCCAAUAGCGUAUAUUAAAGUUGUUGCGGUUAAAAAGCUCGUAGUUGGAUUUCUGUUGAGAAUGGGCGGUCCGCACUACGUGCGUGUAUCUGUUACAGUCUCGGCAUCCUCUUGGAGAACAGUGCUGCUCUUAAUUGCGUGGCCUGGAAUUCAAGACAUUUACUUUGAGGAAAUUAGAGUGUUCACGGCAAGCAAUCGCUUUGAAUACAUUAGCAUGGAAUAAUAAUAUAGGACCUUGGAUCUAUUUUGUUGGUUUCUAGAACUAAGGUAAUGAUUAAUAGGGAUAAUUGGGGGCAUUCGUAUUAACGCGUCAGAGGUGGAAUUCUUGGAUUGCGUUACGACGAACUACUGCGAAAGCAUUUGCCAAGGAUGUUUUCA
RNAcentral lists this ribosomal RNA (381 nucleotides) under uncultured eukaryote. Its description in RNAcentral is "SSU rRNA". It matches the Rfam family "Eukaryotic small subunit ribosomal RNA", at positions 587 to 972 of the family's 1831-position model. The record is from RNAcentral.